CUUUCAUGUGCAUACCUGUGGCCAUGAGUGAAAUGUAUAGAAAUAUUAAAAACAUGUCUUGUGACGGUUGGUGAAAAUGAAGAUGAUGGAGAUAACGGUUGAUUAGGUAUAUAGCUUGUUGAACUGAUACACACGGUCCCACCCCCGGGUUUGGGGAGUGUUGGCGUGCCCUUGAAAAAGUCAAACCCCGCCACAUUUUGUUUGUGUCUGUUUCAAGUCACGAGACGGUAAUGCAGUGUUUGUCGUAUGUUUCUUUAUAAUAUAUUUUUUUGUUUCUUAUUCAUUUUGUACAUUAAUCAGGUCGAUAGAUUUUUCGUUUGUUUUACAAUAUUCAUUUCGUGAAUUGAAGACUAUGCAGUAUAAAUUUUACUCAUUGUUGAAGCCCGUACAGGACAUAUUGUUAAUUUAUGUCUCAUUUGGAUGGUUGCCUCAUUUGCAAUCAUAUCACAUCUUCUUUUUUUUUAUAUGGAAUACUUUUGAAGUUUGUGGUACGUUGCAAGGAUAAAAAGGGGGGAUAUAGGUACAAAAGUUAUAAUGUAAUAGAUAUUAACCAGAGUAAAAUACGCAACAACAGAUAAUACUAUAUAUGGAAGCAGUAAUAAUUGUGAAAAAAACCAAAA
This 620-nucleotide long non-coding RNA is filed under the name Mytilus galloprovincialis (Mediterranean mussel). The record is from RNAcentral. Lineage: Eukaryota; Metazoa; Mollusca; Bivalvia; Mytilida; Mytilidae.